GUGAGAGCUUCGCAUCCCUGAUUUAGCAGGCGGACGGGUGAGUAAUGCCUAGGAAUCUGCCUGGUAGUGGGGGAUAACGUUCCGAAAGGAACGCUAAUACCGCAUACGUCCUACGGGAGAAAGCAGGGGACCUUCGGGCCUUGCGCUAUCAGAUGAGCCUAGGUCGGAUUAGCUAGUUGGUGAGGUAAUGGCUCACCAAGGCGACGAUCCGUAACUGGUCUGAGAGGAUGAUCAGUCACACUGGAACUGAGACACGGUCCAGACUCCUACGGGAGGCAGCAGUGGGGAAUAUUGGACAAUGGGCGAAAGCCUGAUCCAGCCAUGCCGCGUGUGUGAAGAAGGUCUUCGGAUUGUAAAGCACUUUAAGUUGGGAGGAAGGGCAGUAAGCUAAUACCUUGCUGUUUUGACGUUACCGAAGAGAUAAGGGC
Molecule: ribosomal RNA, 428 nt
Filed under: Pseudomonas sp. EGU837
Lineage: Bacteria; Pseudomonadati; Pseudomonadota; Gammaproteobacteria; Pseudomonadales; Pseudomonadaceae
Description: bacterial SSU rRNA
Rfam family: Bacterial small subunit ribosomal RNA
Source: RNAcentral